UUUCCGUAGGUGAACCUGCGGAAGGAUCAUUAGUGAUUUGCCGUGGUGGCGUAAAGACCCGCGAGGCGGUCCCCGGACCCCCUCGUGAACCAACCAAAACCGUGAACCCGUCGGCCUCGGCCGUCAACCCUCACACGCAUCUGAAAGGUACGGAAAGUGACAAAACACAAACAGUUAAUACAACUGUCAGCAACGGAUCUCUUGGCUCUCGCAUCGAUGAAGAACGCAGC
RNAcentral lists this unclassified non-coding RNA (230 nucleotides) under uncultured fungus. RNAcentral's name for it is "sequence contains ITS1, 5.8S rRNA gene". The stretch from base 182 to 230 matches the Rfam family "5.8S ribosomal RNA", at positions 1 to 49 of the family's 154-position model. Lineage: Eukaryota; Fungi. The record is from RNAcentral.